RNAcentral lists this ribosomal RNA (468 nucleotides) under uncultured bacterium. RNAcentral's name for it is "partial 16S ribosomal RNA". It matches the Rfam family "Bacterial small subunit ribosomal RNA", at positions 28 to 507 of the family's 1533-position model. The record is from RNAcentral.
GACGAACGCUGGCGGCGUGCUUAACACAUGCAAGUCGAACGGAAAGGCCCUGCUUUUGUGGGGUGCUCGAGUGGCGAACGGGUGAGUAACACGUGAGUAACCUGCCCUUGACUUUGGGAUAACUUCAGGAAACUGGGGCUAAUACCGGAUAGGAGCUCCUGCUGCAUGGUGGGGGUUGGAAAGUUUCGGCGGUUGGGGAUGGACUCGCGGCUUAUCAGCUUGUUGGUGGGGUAGUGGCUUACCAAGGCUUUGACGGGUAGCCGGCCUGAGUGGGUGACCGGCCACAUUGGGACUGAGUUCCGGCCCAGACUCCUACGGGAGGCAGCAGUGGGGAAUAUUGCACAUUGGGCGGAAGCCUAAUGCAGCAACGCCGCGUGCGGGAUGACGGCCUUCGGGUUGUAACCCGCUUUCGCCUGUGACGAAGCGUGAGUGACGGUAAUGGGUAAAGAAGCACCGGCUAACUACGUG